Melanotaenia boesemani (Boeseman's rainbowfish) is the source of this 583-nucleotide long non-coding RNA. RefSeq lists it as uncharacterized. NCBI's taxonomy places the organism in Eukaryota, Metazoa, Chordata, Actinopteri, Atheriniformes, Melanotaeniidae. The record is from RefSeq and is a predicted model, not a curated record. The transcript is spliced from 2 exons.
AAAGACUGCCUUCAGAGCGGAAUUUUCCUUCUCUUCCAACUGCAAACGGCUGUCGGACGUCUGCAGGCGGAAUGUCGCGCCUCUCCAGCCCAACUUCAGCAGCUGUGGUUUCACCUAUUAGCCCCGAUGUGUUUCCCAAGGAGUGCGGGAGUUGCACAUCAGACAAAAGGCUCCUUGGGGGGUUUACACUACUGACCUGUACUUUUUAGUUUCAUAGGCACUUCAUUAAAUCAAUUACCCAAUGUGCACAUCAUCAUUUGAGUAUUUGUAAAUGACAAAUUCUUUUUUCUACUUUCAAAUGUUGAGCAUGUUCUGCAUAGACACGAUGGAGUCCAUGCUGGUGUAUUGCAGGUUUGAAAACUUCUAUUAUUACACAUAAUCAAACUCCAUUAAUUAAGUAGAAAAUUUCACUUUUGACAUUUUUUAAGAAAGUUAUAGUAGUAUUUGUUCUUCUGACGGCAAGACUGAAUUUUAAACCCAUCAGAGUUUUUUAAAUUUUGUCUCAUACAUCUAAGCAUAACCAAAAUAUUAAGAUGGCGAUAAUUAUCAUGUAAAUUAAAUGUAUUUUCAGUUACAAAAAAAA